GGUAAAUGGUGUCAAAAUGUGGCAGCGCUGCAGCACUAAGAAUUACGGUAAGUAUUUACGACACUGGUUGCUAGGCGCCAACUGUAUGUCGACGGUGUUUGGAUCAACUCUGAACUGCAGGGACUCACUUGUCGAACCAGCUACCAAAGACUACAAAAUAAACGACUAAUGGCCCAUGUGAUCAAAAGUAACUCAGCUCACGUGAGCAGAAAUGCUCAUCUUGGCACUCAGCGUCUUGGAUCUCAAUCCCUAUCUCAUACAGGAUCCCAAGAAUUUCUGUUUGAUGACCGAGGAAUGCUUCUUCCGCACUGCAUCCUGGGAAGUUUGGAUGACUUUAGGAAGUAUCUGGUCACAAGAGGAGAGACAGAGCUGGCGAAGCAAAUACCAACUUCCCAUGGAGACCCUCCAUCCCAGGUGCUUGGGAAGCAACCUUCUGAGAUGGCCCAGAGCAAGCGAAACAUUCCUUUUGGUCAAAGAGACUUGAAGGCAAAUGCUCUGCAGAAUUGGGAUGCAUAUAUAAGACUCAAAAGACGACAGCAGAACGUCUUAUCUGGCCGGCUCCAAAGGCCUGUGGAAAACUUACUGAUGAACCGAGAUUAUGGUUUCAAAGAAAUUCAGAAGCAGAGAGAACUUCUAAGACAUGUCAUGCCAACCAUCCAGUCAGGAUAUGGGUACCAUGUGGGAAGUGAGUUUUGGAGUCUCCCACAGAGCUAUGGAAAUGAACUAAGCGGCAUCAGAGCCACACUUAACCUGACGGAGCAAGGCAAACCAAAACUUGUCACACUUAUCGGACAACCACAGAGCAUACUUCAGGAAUCAGGAAUCACUUGUGCUGAGAAGCUGCGUCCAGUGUCUCGGAUUUGGGACCCAAAUACCAACCUGCUUCGCCAUCGUAACUCAAUUAAAAAAGUUGUCGGAGGCAUUGACAUCAACAGGACGGACUUCAGCAAGCUGGAGGUGAUUGGUUCAAACAAACCAGUUGCCAAAGAGCGCCACAACCGCUUGUGGAAGGAGGAGGUGGGCGAGAACAAGGAGAGCUGCAAGAUUAACAACGAAAAUGUAGAUCUGAUGACACAUUACGAUGAUCGUCAGUCUCACAGUUUGCUCAUUCCUGCCUUGAUGUUUGCUGGCCAGCUUGCCUGCUGGGCUGGAAACUCUCCUUGUCGGCAGGGAGAGGUAAGCAUCAGCGCAACCGUAACGUUUGAGGCGGCUGUUGGCGAGCGAGUCUUGUCUUACCUUCAUAUACACAACGUGGGCAGCACUGCCAUCCUCUUCAGCUGGCAGAAUCUUCCCAUUCAACCGAAUUUCUCGAACCUACAGUCACAUUCGGACAACCCGCACUUCUACUUCAAUACCACCUCUGGUGUCAUCUAUCCAGGUGGCACCAAGCAGGUGGAGUUUAUAUUUAAGUCCGCGAGAAUCGGCAUUGUAACUGAACAGUGGCAGCUCAGCACCCACCCUUUACUGCUGCAAGGAGCCUCCAUUCAGGUCACACUAAAGGGGGUGUCGCUCUACCAGGAUGCAACUGAAAAACAGAGGGAAUUCCUACAGACAAAGUUGGAACAGAGAGUACGACAGGAAAUGUGUCAGAUGAUAAUGUACGAUGUGCUGCGGGGAAUCCGGAGUCCAGAGAGAUCCGUCUCUCCUGCAGAGCCAUACAAGUUGCAGUACCUUGAUCAGACAGAGGAGGACCUAAAGAAGCUUUUGCAAGAAAUGAAUCCAGAACGUGUUUGGAAGCCCUCUGGAACUCCUGGACAGAUAACCACAGAGAACCAGACCACACACAUGCAGGAGAGAUGUCAGAGUGAUGGGGCGCGCAACCGUUGACUGCGCCCCUGAGCUGAGGCUGGGGAUGUUCGGUGCCUUGCUCACGGGCACCUCAACAGUAGUCAGAUGAUCCUCUGAUGGAUGACCAAAUGGACAGCAUGCGUGUAUCCAUGGAUAAGUGCAAUGAUGGAGAUGAGCAAGACGACACAAUAGAAACAGACGACUGAACAUACUGUAUAUUUAAUGGCCAUUAGGUACAUUACAUCUUUCUUUUCUAAGAAAAGAACCUCAUUCAAUUUAGAAUGUUAAUAAACAAUGAUCACUUGAUUGACAACUCAAGGGAUAUUUAUUUACCAAUAUAUUUUUUGUGGCAGAUUGCACCGGCUUACAACUUGUUCAUUGAAAACUGCGAUAUUUUCUUGGUGAUAGCACAAUUUUAUUGGAUUGUAUAACUCGGUGGCUCUUAAAACUUUUUUCACGAAAUACCACCUCAGAAAAACUUCCACAGCGUAUCCGCGGGAUCUUAAAAAGUUUUAAAAAAGUCUUAAAUCCAUCCAUCCAUCCAUCUUUAACCGCUUAUUCGGAAUCGGAUCGCGGGGACAACAGCUCCAACAGAGACCCCCAGACUUCCCUCUCCAGAGCAACAUUAGCAACUUCCUCCUGGGGGAUCCUGAAGCGUUCCCAGGCCAGAGAGGAGAUGUAAUCACCCCCAUCUAGUUCUUGGCCUGCCGCGGGGUCUCCUCCCAGUGGGACGUGCAACGAGGACCUCCCAAGGGAGACACUCGUGAGGCAUCCGCACGAGAUGCUCGAACCACCUAAGCUGGUUCCUUUCCAAGCGAAGGAGCAGCGGCUCUACUCCGAAUCUUUCUCGGGUGACUCAACUUCUCACACUAUAUCUAAGGGAGAUGCCAGCCACCCUUUUGAAGAAAUUAAUUUCGGCAGCUUUUGUCCCCGAUGUUAUUCUUUCGGUCAUGACCCACACUUCAUGACCAUAGGUAAGAGUAGGAAUAGCUCGGUAGACCAAGAGGUUUGUCUUUUAGCUCAGCUCUCGUUUCGUCUCAACAGUGCGGCAGAGAGACUGCAAUACUGCCCCAGCUGCUCCGAUUCUCCCGCUGAUUUCUUUCUCCAUCUUUCCCUCACUCGUGAACAAGACCCCGAGAUACUUAAACUCCACCUGGGACAGAGUCUUGUUCUCUACCUGGACUGUACAAACCAUCUUAGAACCAUGGCCUCAGAUUUGGAGAUGCUGAUCCUCAUUCCACCCGCUGAACACUCGGCUACAAACCGAUCCAGUGAGAGCUGAAGGUCACGAACCGGAGGUGCCAUCAGGACCACAUCAUCUGCAAAAAGCAGUGACACAACCUUUAGCCCCCCGAGACGUAUACCCUCUCCCCCAUGGUCACGACUCUGCCUAGAAAUCCUGUCCAUGAAAAUCACAAGUCUUAAAUCCAUUAAUUUGAAUUUAAGGCCUUAAACUGUCUAAUAUUGUCCUAAAAUCUCAUAAAAGGUCUUAAAUACGAUUUUGAAAGGUCUUAAAAAUCUAUAUUGACGUUAAUUUUAUUUAAAACAUGGAUAAACUUCAGUCUCGCUUUGAAAUGUUUCGAUUUUUGAGGACGUUAUUAGGCGGAACUAACUGCUGCCUGGUCAGAAGUUAUAGUUUGGCAAUUGUUUUAUUCUGACUUCCAAACAAAUCUUGGUUCGCAAUUUGUAUUCCAAUGUGAAAGAGUUGUGAAUAAACUCAAAUACUUUGCAAGUAA
Nerophis ophidion (straightnose pipefish) is the source of this 3524-nucleotide RNA transcript. It is a transcript of the gene named mycbp associated protein, with no coding region annotated. The record is from RefSeq and is a predicted model, not a curated record. NCBI's taxonomy places the organism in Eukaryota, Metazoa, Chordata, Actinopteri, Syngnathiformes, Syngnathidae. The transcript is spliced from 15 exons.